GUCCCAAAUUCAUCUUACAGUAUAAAUAAGCAUUAUUCAUUUGUUUAGAUAUAUUAAUCAGACUUAUCCUUCCACUUAACCUUAGUCGGACUGUCACACCCCAUUUAAAUACCCCUCCUUAGUGGGUACAUGUGUCAACCGUCUGGUUUUCCUCUGGUGAGUGGAAGACAAACUCUGCCAAACUUUUAAUUCCCUUCCUUCGUGAUCCAUGUAGCAGCAGAGCAGUGAACCCAGAAAGUGGAGGUCAGGUGUCAUGCUGGGAGUUGGCCGACCGUUCGGAAUGGAGGCAGUAUUUAAGAUCACACUUGAAGACUCCUGGUGGUCUCCUCUUUCACUUGAACCGUCCGGUUUCGAGUUUGCACCUGACCUUGGGAAACUUAGAAGAAUAGUACCUACCAACCUACUUUCAAAGUCUUAGCUGGAAUUAGAGUUAUUCUUUUCGUGGCCAUGAUCAUCCUUUUGGAUGUGAGCAGAGGAUACCUUGGAAGCUACCCUGAAAGACACUCUGGAGAAUGUCGUGCAGGCCGAGUUCCUCGUGGAGGCCAUGCCUGAGAGUUUUGCAGGACCGUCCGGUCCUUAGGAUAGUUUCUUUCAUUCUAGUUCUUUUGAUGAUUGGUCGUUAGGUCAAUGA
This is a long non-coding RNA of Vigna radiata var. radiata (mung bean), 631 nucleotides long. RefSeq lists it as uncharacterized. The record is from RefSeq and is a predicted model, not a curated record. The transcript is spliced from 3 exons. Lineage: Eukaryota; Viridiplantae; Streptophyta; Magnoliopsida; Fabales; Fabaceae.